Long non-coding RNA from Pan paniscus (pygmy chimpanzee), 2682 nucleotides. The record is from Ensembl. NCBI's taxonomy places the organism in Eukaryota, Metazoa, Chordata, Mammalia, Primates, Hominidae.
CCGUCCCGCGCCUACCUCCCGGCGGCUCCAGUCGCGCACGCGCGUCGGCGCCCGGGGCCCUCCGCGGCCUCUCUAGGAAACUGGGAGGCCCAACGUCUCUGCUUCUCUCCGGCUCCAAUGCGGCGGGCGGCGGGGCUUGUCCAACAUCCCUCACCUCCCUCAGUUGGACACUUCCCUUCCACGCUCGGAUGCCCAGCCGCGCCUGUUUUCUUGCAUCCUUCAUGUCGUGUCUGCGGGGCUGCCCUGAAGGCCUCUUUCCCUCCAGGGAAGAAAGGGAUCCAAAGCUAGGGGUGAAAAUAGGGCCAGCAGUAUCUAGCAGACUGGUCCUGGCCAGGAGAAGGGGUUAAGGGAGCCACUCAUUCUUCGCCUGGGUACACUUCAAAGAGGGGAACCAGAUCCUACGGGAAGCUAGGUGCCAGAACUCCUGCCUUUCCAAGACGAGCUCAUCCCCAUCAUCACCAUACCCAGGAAUACUUGUUCAUAGCCAGCUCAGAGGUGCACCAUACUUUAGCUUCCCACGGCCUUCACUCGUUUUCUCCUGUGGGUGAAUUCUAACUAGGCUCGCCUGUCACCAAAGAUGGAAACAGAGAAUAGAUCCUGAACACCAGGAAGACGGUGACGAGGUGAUAGAGAAACAGAUGGCACAUUCAAACAAGGGCCCUGAAGUGAUCCUCCUCCUGUUCACUGACACCCAUUGCCAAGAGAGAGAGAAAAAAAGAGAGAGAGAGAGAAGCAGAAGAGAGGAGAGGGUGCUGGCCUUAUUAGAGAAAGAAUGUAAGGGGAAAGAAAACAAUCAUGUUAGCUUUGAUUUCUGUAAUAAGUCUGUAUCACAGACAGGCUUAGAAAGCAAAGCUUUGGCAUUACAAGAGCCCAUGAGGGAGCAAAGCUCUCUUAUAGAAAGUCUGAGGCCAGGCACAGUGGCUCACACCUGUAAUCCCAGCAAUUUGGGAGGCCGAGGCGGGCGGAUCACGAGGUCAGGAGAUCCAGACCAUCCUGACUAACACGGUGAAACCCCGUCUCUACUAAAAAUACAAAAAAAUUAGCUGGGCGUGGUGGCGGGCGCCUGUAGUCCCAGCUACUCGGGAGGCUGAAGCAGGAGAAUGGCGUGAACCCGGGAGGCGGAGCUUGCAGUGAGCCGAGAUCACGCCACUGCACUCCAGCCUGGGCGGCAGAGCAAGACUCCGUCUACAAAAAAAAAAAAAAAGAAAAGAAAAAAAAGUCUGGAGGUGGAAGUUCCAAGACUUGAGACAACUAAUAGAAUUAGUUCAUGAUGUGUUAUCAUUCCAAUGGCACCAACAACUCACUCACCACCUGUGCCCCAGGCAAACCUGCUCCUCCUGCUUUCCUUAUUCUCUAUCUGAAGAAAGAAGUAGGAAGUGUCAGUAUGGGUACUGGAAGCCACAUCUAUCUAUACUCAUUCAUUCUUCCAUUCACAAAGAAUUUACUGAUUAUGCACUAUGUGCUAGAUACUGUUCCCGACCUGGGGUAUAUCAGUCACCAGGUGUCAAGCAACUGACACCUGUUUCCACCUCCAACAGAGAAGUCCCACUGGGUAGAGGACAGCAGAGCAUAAAAAUGAGUACCACCAAAACCAGCAGUCCUACGAUGUUAAGCCACUGCAGGGUUUGAAGGUUUGGGGGUUGUCAAGAAAGACAAGACUUACACAAGCACUGGAUGGAACAUUUUACUCACACAGAGAAGAGACAGAGUAAGAUCAGCUUCAAUAGGGAGCAUUGGUUCCCCAUGGCCAGUGGGACUUGCCCUGCAACCAGGACAGACAGAUGGUCUGCAUACACUCUUUGUGUGUUGCCUGGGAGGGACCCCAUUCCCUUCCCACUGAGAACAGAUACAGCAGUGGGGUUGGGCUGGUACCAUAUGAUGCACAUGUUUAAGCAGAACAAAGAAGUACAUGUCAAACCUGGAACAGGAAAAGAUAUUGCCAAACAGGGCAGUGAGCCCAGCACAGGGUGUGGAGGCUCUUUAUCACCAUGUAAGUAAAAGUUCCAAGCCCGAGGCACAUUCUUUGAAACUGCAAGGUUUGACAGGCUGUGCAGGACUGUCUUUCCCAGCAGUUUACCCACUGACCCUUGCUUGGCUGCUGAAAUAGCAGAUAAAGCAUACUGAAUCUAGCAGACCACCAUCCGCCCUGAAUUUGGAGGCAAAGCUGGGUCUGAUGGGGCCUGAACAACCCCUAUGGAUUAGGUUUGCUCACAGAAUCUUCCUAUCACUUUUUAAAAUUAAUAACCCUUAUUUUUAAAAUCUAUUUAUUUAUUUAUUUUGAGACCAGGUUAUGAGACUGGCUAAUUUUUGUAUUUUUGGUAGAGAUGGGGUUUCACCAUGUUGCCAAGGCUGGUCUCAAACUCCUGGGCUCAAGCAAUCCACUCUCCUCAGCCUCCACAAGUGCUGGGGUUACAGGCAUGAACAACUGCACCUGGACAACCCUGAUUUUUUAGAGCAGUUUUAGGUUCACAGCAAAAUUGAACACAAAGAACAGAGAGUUCCCAAUUCACUCUGUUUCCAUACACACAUAACCUCCCCCUAUAGACAUCCCAAACCACAGUGGUACAUUAGUUACAGCCAAAUAUGUGUGUGUGUGUGUGUGUGUGUGUGUAUAAUAAACAUAUAUAAUAUAUAAUAUAAUAUAAUAAAAUAUAUAAUAUAUAAAAUAUAAUAUAUAAUAUA